Long non-coding RNA from Papaver somniferum (opium poppy), 1019 nucleotides. RefSeq lists it as uncharacterized. The transcript has 2 exons. Lineage: Eukaryota; Viridiplantae; Streptophyta; Magnoliopsida; Ranunculales; Papaveraceae. The record is from RefSeq and is a predicted model, not a curated record.
ACUUCUUCAACUCUCUCUCCCUCCCUCUCUUUCACGUCCUUAUUCUUCGUCAUCAAAAAUUACCCAUGCCAGAUCGUCAUCGUCAUUUUAUGAAAUCAAUUAGUGAAUGUUCUGUUAAUUAUGUUCUUGUUGAUUUUUUUUUUGUUUCCUUGAUUUUGAAUAAGUUUGCACUAGCAGAUCCGUGAUUGUCAUGGGUUUGAAGAAGAUUUCAAUUAGAUAUUUAUGAUGGGUUUUUACGGUUUUAACUAUGGUUUUAAUUGGAACCACAUAAACCAUAAAAAUCCAUUGUAGAAAACCCUUAAUUGAAAGAUCCUGUUUGGAGGUAUUCCAUGUGGUUUGGAAGUGGAUUUACAUGAAGUUUUCGAUUGAGAAAUGGAUACAACAACAAACAAUAGCAUUUGGGGUUUGCAUGAACUGAGUUCCAUGGGUUUCUUGAGCUGUCAGAAAGUGGUGGUGUCUCAAUUACUCGCAAUGCGAUUUGUCAAGAGCUUGUCACUACGUAUGAUCAAGCCAUGGAUAUGGUUGUGAAUGUUGCUGGAAAUGAUAAAUUAAUCUUGUAUUUGUGUUGUUAAUAUGCUUACAGGGAUAAAGGUUGAGUCGAAUUUUCAUCUUCAAUGAGCAGUUUCUGUUGGCUUAUGUUGCAGACAGGUGGUUCUAAUUGCAUUAUAGAGAAGCUUGAGAAGUGAUUAUUGUCGCAGUUGAUAGUUGAUGCGAGUCAUCGAAACUAGCUGAAAUAGAUUGGGUUGUCGGCGUCCAUUGGUUUAUUAAAGGUCCACUCAUGGGCACUGAUAGAUUUCAGUUGCUAUAUUGGUACCGAGUCAUGAGUCGAGUUCAUACUGAGUCACUGAUGCUACUCUGAUCGAUCCAACUGACUCAGGGCUAGAAGGUCUUUUUACAUUCCCGAUUUAGUGCCACAUGUCAUGUAACGUCCGCUAGCCGUUUUUUCAAAAAAACGGGACGGAAAAGGUCAAGUCAUGGGCAUUUUCUUAAUUUUCAAAAAAACGUGGGCAUUUUCUUAA